RNAcentral lists this ribosomal RNA (490 nucleotides) under uncultured bacterium. RNAcentral's name for it is "partial 16S ribosomal RNA". It matches the Rfam family "Bacterial small subunit ribosomal RNA", at positions 30 to 507 of the family's 1533-position model. The record is from RNAcentral.
AUUGAACGCUGGCGGCAUGCCUUACACAUGCAAGUCGAACGGCAGCAUGAUCUGCCUUGCUCGCUUGAUGUCGAGUGGCGCACGGGUGUGUAAUACAUAGGAACGUGCUCUGUAGUUGGGGAUAACUCGUCGAAAGAUUAGCUAAUACCGCAUACGUCCUGAGCGUGAAAGUGGGGGACCGAAAGGCCUCCUGCUAUAGAAGUGGCCGAUGUCUGAUUAGCUAGUUGGUGAGGUAAAGGCUCACCAAGGCCACGAUCAGUAGCUGGUCUGAGAGGACGAUCAGCCACACUGGAACUGAGACACGGCCCAGACUCCUACGGGAGGCAGCAGUGGGGAAUUUUGGACAAUGGGCGAAAGCCUGAUCCAGCAAUGCCGCGUGUGUGAAGAAGGCCUUCGGGUUGUAAAGCACUGUUGUCCGGAAAGAAAAGGUUCUGGAUAAUACCUGGAGUCGAUGACGGUACCGGAAGAGAAAGGACCGGCUAACUACGUG